AGAAGAGUCCUCUGGGAGAGUAGGCGACAGGGAGGAGUGAUAAAGGACAUGGGAUUCCCAGGCACUUUUCCCCAUCUAACUUACUGCCUUCUAUAGCCCCAAGCCACCCAACUAAAAAUAACAAGCCAGUCUCUAAAAAGCAGGACAAGGCUGGCAAGCCAUCAAGCUAGGUAGGGCUCCUCCAACAGAAGCAAACAUCCCACGGCACACAACAGUGCCAACCAAGGGAUGUAUUUGCUACUUUCAUUCUGCAAGGAGUUGGCCCCCUACACUCUCCUACUUCCGGACUCUUGGUCGGGGCUUCUAGAACUCUCCAUUUCCCACUGGUCUUUGAGUCUUCACAUCUUUUGGUUCAAAGCAUGGUCGUUUGUCUUCCCCAGUUCAAGCGCUCAGGCUUCAUCCUCUGCAAAAGCAGUUUGCCUCCCAUUCAAGGAUGUAAAUCUCCUCCAGUUUGACACCUGGCUGGAGAAGGGACUAGAAAGGCUGUCUCUUCAGCUGUCAGAUCCACUGGUGACAAUCUGCAGAUGGAAUCCACAGCUUCGUUCAAGUCUAAACACUCCAAAGGAGGCUGAGAGUCGGCACACCGGUAUGUGUCCAGCAAGACCCAAGCAGUAUGGGCUCCUGGACAGUCUUCAAGGACAAUUCUAUAAACCAAAGGCCCCUCUCCCCCAAAGUUACCCUCUCCUUUGCCUGGGCAACUUCCCUCAGCGAUGUUGGGAAAAUAUCCAGAGAUCCAGAGAAGAGGCCCUCUGAUCCCCAGGCUCAACCAAGACUUCCAUACCGAGGGCCAUAGUUCAAGAGCAGACUCCCUGCCAAGAAACCGUCUACGUUCAGACACCAGAGAGUGCGCACUGCAUUGGUUUGGAAGGGAGAAAGUCAUCUUUGGUAUGCAAACAGCUUGAGAAAUAAAACCUGAGCUCCAGGAGAAAAGGGAGCUGCAUA
Long non-coding RNA from Myodes glareolus (Bank vole), 942 nucleotides. RefSeq lists it as uncharacterized. NCBI's taxonomy places the organism in Eukaryota, Metazoa, Chordata, Mammalia, Rodentia, Cricetidae. The record is from RefSeq and is a predicted model, not a curated record.